Molecule: ribosomal RNA, 575 nt
Filed under: uncultured bacterium
Lineage: Bacteria
Description: bacterial SSU rRNA
Rfam family: Bacterial small subunit ribosomal RNA
Source: RNAcentral
GGUGGAGUAUGUGGUUUAAUUCGAUGCAACGCGAAGAACCUUACCUGGUCUUGACAUCCCGGAGAUCUCCUGGAAACAGGAGAGUGCUUUCAUUAGAGAGAAUCCGGUGACAGGUGCUGCAUGGCUGUCGUCAGCUCGUGUCGUGAGAUGUUGGGUUAAGUCCCGCAACGAGCGCAACCCUCGCCAUUAGUUGCCAUCAUUUAGUUGGGCACUCUAAUGGGACUGCCGGUGUCAAACCGGAGGAAGGUGGGGAUGACGUCAAGUCCUCAUGGCCUUUAUGACCAGGGCUACACACGUACUACAAUGGCCGACACAAAGGGCAGCCACAGAGCGAUCUGGAGCGAAUCCCGUAAAGUCGGUCUCAGUCCGGAUUGGAGUCUGCAACUCGACUCCAUGAAGUUGGAAUCGCUAGUAAUCGUGGAUCAGCAUGCCACGGUGAAUACGUUCCCGGGCCUUGUACACACCGCCCGUCACACCACGGAAGUCGGUUGUACCAGAAGUAGUUGAGCGAACCUUUUUUAGGAAGCAGGCUACCAAGGUAUGGCUGGUAACUGGGGUGAAGUCGUAACAAGGUA